AGUUUGAAAAAACAAGUGACUGCGACGCCGGAAAUCGCAAUGGGUGCGUAAAAAUACGUGUCGGAGCUAUGGAGGAAUAAGCCCGUCGUCUCGGCUACAAGGCCAAGCAGGGGUUUGUUGUCUACCGUGUUCGUGUGAGGCGUGGUCUCGUAAGAGACUUGUGCCCAAUUGUAUCGUGUAUGGUGCUAUUGGUGAUGGUAGUGGCUGUCAGCCAACAGCCUUCACUAUUGGCUACUUCAAAUCUGUGAGGCUCGGAGAUGCUUACUUCGAUUCGCAAAUCAAGAAAUCUCCUUAAAGCAAAAGGAAAGAAAGAAGAAAGGAAAGAGAGAGUUGUACUACGCUGGUAGCUUGUUCAUCGGAGAGUAGGAAAAGGUCACCUAACUGAUGGAAUCUUCUUAUCUUCCAAGAUUCUUGGUGCAAAUCAAGAAACCUUCAAGAAAGAGAUGCUGCUUAGUCACCGCUUAUUCUGUCGAUUGCUAGUCCUUUAUUGUCUAUAUUUAUCUUUCUUCUACUAAAGAAACUCGGCUUCU
This is a long non-coding RNA of Eutrema salsugineum, 530 nucleotides long. RefSeq lists it as uncharacterized. Lineage: Eukaryota; Viridiplantae; Streptophyta; Magnoliopsida; Brassicales; Brassicaceae. The transcript is spliced from 3 exons. The record is from RefSeq and is a predicted model, not a curated record.